Molecule: long non-coding RNA, 1075 nt
Organism: Cyprinus carpio carpio
Lineage: Eukaryota; Metazoa; Chordata; Actinopteri; Cypriniformes; Cyprinidae
Source: Ensembl
CAGGUUUAUAGUGUUUAUUUAUUUAUUUUAAAUAUGACUUUUACACUGAAAAUAAUUUUUUUGACCUCCAGUCAAAUUUAAACAUGCAUUACAAAAUGCAUUUACUUUUAUAAAGUACUGUAUAAAAAACACAAGCUUUUCAAAAACAUUUAUGCUUUUAAAAACAAAAUCCCCAGACAAUUGUUUGGACAAUUUUAUUCAGUGGACAAAAUACACAGUAUAUACUGUACUUACAGUACAUAAAAAGAAAACAAUUGAUAAGUUACAACAGGUUCUUUCAAAUAUAUCCACUCUUGCACUCAUACUAACACAGCAGGUAAAACAAGGUCUUUACAACUAAGGGGUGUUUGUGUGUGACAUGCAGCAUGAUCUACAUUGCACGCUCUAGGAAUGUUUCAUUUCGGAUGUCUGUAUGCACUUUAUCCCCCAAGUCAAUUCUCAAAUUAAUCAUUUCAAAUUACCAAUUGCACAGGGCCGUGAUAAAAUUCACAGAGCUCAGGUCAAAAUGUUACUCGGUGGUUUCCCCAAAAGUGUAUCUUGCUAAGCUAACUGCUCUACACAACAAAUAGGUAAAAUAAAAUUAGAAAAAACAAUGCAAACCCCCCCUUUAUGAAGCCUGUAUUUAUAAUACAUUAUGAGGAUAUCUAUUAUUCACAUUCAGAGUUUAAGAAAAUGCCUGUGCAUCUUCUUGAAGAAUAUCCUGAGUCGAUUGACUUAAUGGAGAUGAUAGAGUUUCUUUCAGAUACUGUGAAGGAAAGGCAUUCAGAUUAACUUUUUUUUAUUCUUCUUUACAAAUUUUGAGUAAUAAAUCUAAUGCAUAAACCCUGUGAGAUUUAGUUUCAGGAUCAUGAAUAAUGCUGCUUUUAUUGUUAGAUAAGCAUCAUUUUAUUCUCAGUUUAAGUGAUGUGUUUGGUCAUAUGAAUACUUACACACUGUCUCAUCCAGUCCUGGACUGCAUUUCUCUGGACUUCGGUUUGGAUCGAAAAUCUCUGUGUGGAAAUUGUUGAUUACAAAAAUAUUACCGAAUGCAUUCUAUUAGUAGGAUGAAGGACUUAAGACAUUGUUUAUUUCUAUU